AUUGAACGCUGGCGGCAGGCCUAACACAUGCAAGUCGAACGAGUGGCGGACGGGUGAGUAAUGUCUGGGAAACUGCCUGAUGGAGGGGGAUAACUACUGGAAACGGUAGCUAAUACCGCAUACCAUCAGAUGUGCCCAGAUGGGAUUAGCUAGUAGGUGGGGUAAUGGCUCACCUAGGCGGCGAUCCCUAGCUGGUCUGAGAGGAUGACGAGCCACAAUGGAACUGAGACACGGUCAAGAGUCCUACGGGAGGCAGCAGUGGGGAAUAUUGCACAAUUGGCGCAAGCCUGAUGCAGCCAUGCCGCGUGUGUGAAGAAGGCCUGCGGGUUGUAAAGCACUUUCAGCGAGGAGGCGUUACUCGCAGAAGAAGCACCGGCUAACUCCGUGCCAGCAGCCGCGGUAAUUC
Molecule: ribosomal RNA, 406 nt
Filed under: uncultured bacterium
Lineage: Bacteria
Description: partial 16S ribosomal RNA
Rfam family: Bacterial small subunit ribosomal RNA
Source: RNAcentral